This is a long non-coding RNA of Glycine soja, 1311 nucleotides long. RefSeq lists it as uncharacterized. The transcript has 7 exons. Lineage: Eukaryota; Viridiplantae; Streptophyta; Magnoliopsida; Fabales; Fabaceae. The record is from RefSeq and is a predicted model, not a curated record.
AUUAAAUUAUAGCUUCAAAUGGUCUGUAUGAUGCUGGUGCGAUUCCCAGCAUUCGAGCUGCGGAAAUCUACGGGCUUAAUGUACUUGCAGAACAAAUUCAAGAAUUUGCCACAUUUCUUCGGGUGUUGGGCUGCUAUCCCAUAGAUACAACCAUAUAGAUAGCUAUCUUGUGUGCUGACGUAGGUCCUUCAAUCAAUGAUUCAAAUGGGUGUUCUUGUGCCAACUGGAGAUAUGAAUCUUGUUAAACGGCCAACAUAGUUCUUCCUCAACAGGAUAUGGAACCAUGAGGAGGCUACACUGCUUAACACUUUUGGUAAUCAUCAUUUUCCCGACAGAGGAAUUUCUAAGCUCUGCCUUGUAAAUGAGCUUGAUGAUAGCUUGCUUCUUGAUGCUUCAUUUGAUGGAAACAUUCAGAUUUGGAAGGACUAUCUCCUGAAGGGUAAACAAAAACUUGUCAUUGCAUUCUCUUCAAUUCAUGGACAUAAACCAGGUGUGAGGAGUCUGAGUGCAGUUGUUGAUUGGCAACAACAAUGUGAUUAUCCAUAUGCAUCGGGUGAGAUAUCAUCUAUUAUGCUAUGGGAUGUUGAUAAAGAGCAGCUUGUUAAUUCUAAAUCUUCAUCAUCAGAUUGCAGUGUCUCAGUGUUGAUGACUAGGUGAAUUACUUUAAAGAAUCUCGUGCUAGAGGACGCUAAGACAUAAUGCUUUGAUAGGAUGUGACAUUGAGGUCUUCUCCUUCGACGAGCAACAGCCACGAAGACGAAGACGACCUCUCCCAGAGCGAAGCAAGAUCCUCCUCCUUCCAAUCCACCGUACUCCGUUCCCGUCUACGGGAGGCAGAACGAAGAUGUUUACGGAGAGAGAGUGCUUGCCUACGAUGGCGGGAAGGUGGAACUGUACGGUGCCCGAGGCUCGGUGCCGAAAUCGUCUUCCACUUGGUCAAGUUUUGACGAUUACGGGAGGGCCAUCGGUGGUGGUGGUGGUGCUCCUCCCCCUGCGACGGCGACGAGCAAGGUUGUUAAAGCGAUGCCGAAGGUGGACGCCGAGGGAGACACGAAGAGCGGAGUGCAGAAGUUUCGGGUGAAGCUAUUGGCAGAAAGUGGUGGUCAGAUCACUAUUGAUGUUCUCUGACAGGUAUGUAUGAAUUAUGAACAUAGUAAUUAAUAGCAUUUAUACUUUGUAACUACCAUUAUGAAGUUUUGGUGUUCUGCUAUUUGAAUUGUGAAUUUGCAUGGUUUAACUAACUUCUCUUUUUGUUGAUUAUUCUGUCUAGCUUGCUAUGCGAGAAGCUUGUAAAUAUGUAGAAGAAAAAAU